ACAGAGGUGGCAAGCGUUGUUCGGAUUUAUUGGGCGUAAAGGGUCCGUAGGCGGCCUAGAAAGUCGGGUGUGAAAUCCCACAGCUUAACUGUGGAACUGCAUUCGAAACUUCUAGGCUCGAGUGCGAUAGGGGUAAAGGGAAUUCCCGGUGUAAGGGUGAAAUCUGCAGAGAUCGGGAGGAACACCAGUCGCGAAGGCGCUUUACUGGAUCACUACUGACGCUGAGGGACGAAAGCCAGGGGAGCAAACGG
RNAcentral lists this ribosomal RNA (251 nucleotides) under uncultured prokaryote. Its description in RNAcentral is "partial 16S rRNA". It matches the Rfam family "Bacterial small subunit ribosomal RNA", at positions 525 to 775 of the family's 1533-position model. The record is from RNAcentral.